This is a long non-coding RNA of Folsomia candida, 482 nucleotides long. RefSeq lists it as uncharacterized. The transcript has 2 exons. The record is from RefSeq and is a predicted model, not a curated record. NCBI's taxonomy places the organism in Eukaryota, Metazoa, Arthropoda, Collembola, Entomobryomorpha, Isotomidae.
UUGAAAUUGUGGAUUCUGCUUAGAACUCUGGGAGAAAAGUACUAUACGGAUACAAAUAGUCGAAAGACUUCUACGAAGAAACAUUAGAACAAAUUAAUUUGUUCGAAAAAUGCCUGUCAAAUUAUGUAAACAAAUUUCCGCAAUGUUUUCCAAACAUUCUACACUGUUGGAAGUAACUCUUCUUAUCCUCGUGAUUAGUCUGGUCAACGUCUCCGAUGGAAAUCAUGAUAUAAUUAUCGCGAAGACUGAAGUUAUACAGGGAAACUAUGGAAUUGAAGGGGGUUUGCAAGGAGGUGUGCUACGCCACAGACGUCCUGGCCACAGACGUCCUGUCCAUAGGCGCCCUGGACACAGGCGCCCUGGCCAAAUAAUGGUUAGUGCGCCGAAAGUCAUAAAUGAAAUCCAUUAACUGGAUCAAGUUGGAAAAUCUGAAAUUAUUUACAACUUCAAAAUUGACAAAUAAAGAAUAUGAACCUUAUGCC